Molecule: ribosomal RNA, 773 nt
Filed under: uncultured Neocallimastigales
Lineage: Eukaryota; Fungi; Neocallimastigomycota; Neocallimastigomycetes; Neocallimastigales
Description: partial large subunit ribosomal RNA
Rfam family: Eukaryotic large subunit ribosomal RNA
Source: RNAcentral
GUACACGCUGUGACUAGCAUAUCAAUAAGCGGAGGAAAAGAAACUAACAAGGAUUCCCCUAGUAACGGCGAGUGAAGCGGGAAGAGCUCAAAUUUGAAAUCUUAAAGGGUUUCCCUUUACGAAUUGUAGUUUAAAGAAGUGUUUUCUGUUGAGGUUUGGUAAAAGUUCUUUGGAAUAGGACAUCAUAGAGGGUGAGAAUCCCGUAUUUGACCUUUACUUUCAACUUUGUGAUACACUUUCAAAGAGUCGGAUUGUUUGGGAAUGCAGUCCAAAAUGGGUGGUAAAUUUCAUCUAAAGCUAAAUAUUGGCGAGAGACCGAUAGCGAACAAGUACCGUGAGGGAAAGAUGAAAAGAACUUUGAAAAGAGAGUUAAACAGUACGUGAAAUUGUCAAAAGGGAAGCGUUUGACACCAGUGUUGUUUUUCUGAAAAUCAAUUAAAGAACUGUUUAUGCUAAGUUGUUUAGACUUUAUCAGCUAACUGUUUAGUUUUGAGCUUUUCUUUAAUGCACUUUUCAGUUAACAAGUCAACAUCAAUUUCUUUUGCUGUGAAAAAGCUUGAGGAAGGUGGCUUGAGAUUCGUCUUAAGUGUUUAUAGCCUCUUGCCUAUGCAGUCGGAGAGAUUGAGGUCUGCAGCGUAGAUCCUUCGGGGCUAAAUGCAUUUGUGCUAAGUUAUAGCAUUUUAUAGACAACUUGUUGACUAUGAUUUGUCUUGUAGCUUACUCGCUUAUGUUAUUUUACCUACGCUUAGGAUGUUGAUAUGCAUGACUGAUAU